CUGUGACGUUUCUGACAGAAGAAGCACCGGCUAACUCCGUGCCAGCAGCCGCGGUAAUACGGAGGGUGCGAGCGUUAAUCGGAAUUACUGGGCGUAAAGCGUACGCAGGCGGUUUGUUAAGCGAGAUGUGAAAGCCCCGGGCUCAACCUGGGAACUGCAUUUCGAACUGGCAAACUAGAGUGUGAUAGAGGGUGGUAGAAUUUCAGGUGUAGCGGUGAAAUGCGUAGAGAUCUGAAGGAAUACCGAUGGCGAAGGCAGCCACCUGGGUCAACACUGACGCUCAUGUACGAAAGCGUGGGGAGCAAACAGGAUUAGAUACCCUGGUAGUCCACGCCGUAAACGAUGUCUACUAGAAGCUCGGAGCCUCGGCUCUGUUUUUCAAAGCUAACGCAUUAAGUAGACCGCCUGGGGAGUACGGCCGCAAGGUUAAAACUC
Molecule: ribosomal RNA, 435 nt
Filed under: uncultured bacterium
Lineage: Bacteria
Description: bacterial SSU rRNA
Rfam family: Bacterial small subunit ribosomal RNA
Source: RNAcentral